GACGAACGCUGGCGGCGUGCUUAACACAUGCAAGUCGAACGGAAAGGCCCUGCUUUUGUGGGGUGCUCGAGUGGCGAACGGGUGAGUAACACGUGAGUAACCUGCCCUUGACUUUGGGAUAACUUCAGGAAACUGGGGCUAAUACCGGAUAGGAGCUCCUGCUGCAUGGUGGGGGUUGGAAAGUUUCGGCGGUUGGGGAUGGACUCGCGGCUUAUCAGCUUGUUGGUGGGGUAGUGGCUUACCAAGGCUUUGACGGGUAGCCGGCCUGAGAGGGUGACCGGCGACAUUGGGACUGAGAUACGGCCCAGACUCCUACGGGAGGCAGCAGUGGGGAAUAUUGCACAAUGGGCGGAAGCCUGAUGCAGCAACGCCGCGGGUGGGAUGACGGCCUUCGGGUUGUAAACCGCUUUCGCCUGUGACGAAGCGUGAGUGACGGUAAUGGGUAAAGAAGCACCGGCUAACUACGUG
This 468-nucleotide ribosomal RNA is filed under the name uncultured bacterium. Its description in RNAcentral is "partial 16S ribosomal RNA". It matches the Rfam family "Bacterial small subunit ribosomal RNA", at positions 28 to 507 of the family's 1533-position model. The record is from RNAcentral.